This 533-nucleotide ribosomal RNA is filed under the name uncultured bacterium. RNAcentral describes it as "bacterial SSU rRNA". It matches the Rfam family "Bacterial small subunit ribosomal RNA", at positions 608 to 1032 of the family's 1533-position model. The record is from RNAcentral.
CUUAACCCCGGAAUAGCUUUUGAAACUGCAUGUCUAGAAUCCCGGAGGGGCCAGCAGAAUUCCUAGUGUAGAGGUGAAAUUCGCAGAUAUUAGGAGGAAUACCAGUGGCGUAGGCGGCUGGCUGGACGGGCAUUGACGCUCAGAUACGAAAGCGUGGGGAGCAAACAGGAUUAGAUACCCUGGUAGUCCACGCCGUAAACGAUGUGUGCUAGUUGUCGGGCCUCCUGAAUUCAGAAAACAGGAAUCAGAAGCCAGAAAAUGCAAAUGUAAAUGUUUUUCCAAAAAUGUUUAUUUUAAGCUUUUCUGAUUUCAGGUUUCAGACUUCUGGCUUCAGGUGGCCCGGUGACGGAGGGAAACCAUUAAGCACACCGCCUGGGGAGUACGGCCGCAAGGCUAAAACUCAAAGGAAUUGACGGGGACCCGCACAAGCGGUGGAGCAUGUUAUUUAAUUCGAGGCAACGCGAAGAACCUUACCCACUCUUGACAUCCUCCUUGGGACUUUCAGAGAUGAUUGUCUUCGGUUCGGCCGGGGG